AAUUCUUUCGGACUUUUGAAAGUGAUGGUGGUGGGGGAAGGAUUCGAACCUUCGAAGUCGAUGACGGCAGAUUUAGAGUCUGCUCCCUUUGGCCGCUCGGGAACCCCACCACAGGUAAUGCUUUUACUGGCCUGCUCCCUUAUCGGGAAGCGGGGCGCAUCAUAUCAAAUGACGCGCCGCUGUAAAGUGUUACGUUGAGAAAGAAUU
Molecule: transfer RNA, 207 nt
Filed under: Mus musculus (house mouse)
Lineage: Eukaryota; Metazoa; Chordata; Mammalia; Rodentia; Muridae
Source: RNAcentral